Molecule: ribosomal RNA, 253 nt
Filed under: uncultured bacterium
Lineage: Bacteria
Description: partial 16S ribosomal RNA
Rfam family: Bacterial small subunit ribosomal RNA
Source: RNAcentral
UACAGAGGGAGCAAGCGUUGUUCGGAAUUACUGGGCGUAAAGGGCGCGUAGGCGGUUCGAUAAGUCCCGUGUGAAAUCCCUCGGCUCAACUGAGGAAUUGCACGGGAAACUGACGGGCUUGAGUUCGGGAGAGGGAAGCGGAAUUCCGGGUGUAGCGGUGAAAUGCGUAGAUAUGCGGAGGAACACCGAUGGCGAAGGCAAUCCCCUGGGCCUGCACUGACGCUCAUGCACGAAAGCGUGGGGAGCAAACAGG